AUUGAACGCUGGCGGCAGGCCUAACACAUGCAAGUCGAACGGAGCGGCGGACGGGUGAGUAAUGCCUAGGAAUCUGCCUGGUCGUGGGGGAUGACGUCCGGAACCGGGCGCUAAUACCGCAUACUAUCAGAUGAGCCUAGGUCGGAUUAGCUAGUUGGUGGGGUAAAGGCCCACCAAGGCGACGAUCCGUAACUGGUCUGAGAGGAUGAUCAGUCACACUGGAACUGAGACACGGUCCAGACUCCUACGGGAGGCAGCAGUGGGGAAUAUUGGACAAUGGGCGAAAGCCUGAUCCAGCCAUGCCGCGUGUGUGAAGAAGGUCUUCGGAUUGUAAAGCACUUUCAGCGGGGAGGCGUUACCAGCAGAAGAAGCACCGGCUAACUCCGUGCCAGCAGCCGCGGUAAUAC
This 407-nucleotide ribosomal RNA is filed under the name uncultured bacterium. RNAcentral describes it as "partial 16S ribosomal RNA". It matches the Rfam family "Bacterial small subunit ribosomal RNA", at positions 30 to 526 of the family's 1533-position model. The record is from RNAcentral.